AAAAAGGCAAAUCCUAGAUUUCCGUGUCCAACUUUGAUUGUCUGUCUUAUAUGAAAUUUUUUUAUAAUUCAUAUUUUUAUUGUUGUUAGAUGAUAAAACAUGAUUAAUAUUUUAUACGUGACUUGUCUUUUUAAUUUUUUUUCUUAAUUUUUUAAAAUAAGACGGACGGUCAAACGUUGGGCACGGAAACCAGGGUUUGUCUUUUU
Molecule: microRNA precursor, 206 nt
Filed under: Oryza nivara
Lineage: Eukaryota; Viridiplantae; Streptophyta; Magnoliopsida; Poales; Poaceae
Description: MIR812 microRNA precursor family
Rfam family: MIR812 microRNA precursor family
Source: Rfam by way of RNAcentral